GCGGGAGUGGUGGAAUUGGUAAACACGCAGGAUUUAGGUUCCUGUGCCCCGGCGUGAGGGUUCGAGUCCCUCCUUCCGCACGA
RNAcentral lists this transfer RNA (83 nucleotides) under Curtobacterium sp. 'Ferrero'. RNAcentral's name for it is "tRNA-Leu". It matches the Rfam family "tRNA". Rfam says of the family: Transfer RNA (tRNA) molecules are approximately 80 nucleotides in length. Their secondary structure includes four short double-helical elements and three loops (D, anti-codon, and T loops). The record is from RNAcentral. Lineage: Bacteria; Bacillati; Actinomycetota; Actinomycetes; Micrococcales; Microbacteriaceae.